UACGGGAGGCAGCGGUGGGGAAUAUUGGACAAUGGGGGCAACCCUGAUCCAGCCAUGCCGCGUGAGUGAAGAAGGCCCUAGGGUUGUAAAGCUCUUUCAGUCGUGAAGAUGAUGACGGUAGCGACAGAAGAAGCCCCGGCUAACUCCGUGCCAGC
Molecule: ribosomal RNA, 155 nt
Filed under: uncultured bacterium
Lineage: Bacteria
Description: partial 16S ribosomal RNA
Rfam family: Bacterial small subunit ribosomal RNA
Source: RNAcentral